Molecule: long non-coding RNA, 707 nt
Filed under: Agrilus planipennis (emerald ash borer)
Lineage: Eukaryota; Metazoa; Arthropoda; Insecta; Coleoptera; Buprestidae
Description: uncharacterized LOC108741414, transcript variant X2
Source: RNAcentral
CACGGUAUAACAACUCUGAUGCUCGCUGAAUUCACAAACUAAUUCAUAAUUCGUUUUAUAAAAUGAAACGUAAUUUCUGGUCAAAUUAAACGUAUUUGCAGUUUUUCAUAUCUGUACUGCUUAAUGUUAUGGAAAAAGAGAAAUUUGCAUAUGUGGGUGUAUUUGUGAGGUGUAUUUUGCAAUUAGUCAUCGAUCAUGGACCACAUCGAUAAUAGAUAAAUUUCGGCAUCGUCAUUCGACCGCAUUUCCAGGAAAGGAAAGCUGUAUCCUCUAGUCCAGUAACCCAACAGUCAGGUAUCGGCUUCUUCCAGAAUCACCGGCAUGCGUCAAGAGUGACACUCCACAAUUAACCAUUGUGGGAUGAUCACCAAUCCUUGUAUCACUUCAGGAACAUCGCAUCGUGGGAAAACACUUUUGUCAACAACGAGGGACCAUUUCUAAUGGGUGCGAAUAGCUCCCAACAGUAAUGGCCUACUAAUAACUGAAACUGUCUCCCAAGGCACAACAGUCCCUUCCAACGUCAAGAAUCAUCAUUCAUAGGCAAGACUUAUCCCUUCGCGAACAGGAACACCUUCAGUUUCUGGCUGUCGAAUGGUGGCAGUAACCAUUUGGAAAGUAUCCGAUUCUGCGAAACAUGGUCCCGGGGGUAAUCGGUCUAUUCCAGGAUCGCCUACAUAUGUCAAGAGAGGUUUAAGCUUGUAAUUACU